RNAcentral lists this ribosomal RNA (917 nucleotides) under uncultured archaeon. Its description in RNAcentral is "bacterial SSU rRNA". It matches the Rfam family "Archaeal small subunit ribosomal RNA", at positions 1 to 924 of the family's 1478-position model. The record is from RNAcentral.
UUUCCGGUUGAUCCCGCCGGACCUGACUGCUAUCGGAUUGAUACUAAGCCAUGCGAGUCAUUGUAGCAAUACAAGGCAGACGGCUCAGUAACGCGUAGUCAACCUAACCUAUGGACGGGAAUAACCUCGGGAAACUGAGAAUAAUGCCCGAUAGAACAUUAUGCCUGGAAUGGUUUAUGUUCCAAAUGAUUUAUCGCCGUAGGAUGGGACUGCGGCCUAUCAGUUUGUUGGUGAGGUAAUGGCCCACCAAGACUAUUACAGGUACGGGCUCUGAGAGGAGUAGCCCGGAGAUGGGUACUGAGACACGGACCCAGGCCCUAUGGGGCGCAGCAGGCGAGAAAACUUUGCAAUGUGCGAAAGCACGACAAGGUUAAUCCGAGUGGUUUCUGCUAAAGGAACCUUUUGUCGGUCCUAGAAACACCGAUGAAUAAGGGGUGGGCAAGUUCUGGUGUCAGCCGCCGCGGUAAAACCAGCACCUCAAGUGGUCAGGAUGAUUAUUGGGCCUAAAGCAUCCGUAGCCUGCUUUGUUAGUUUUCGGUUAAAUCUGUACGCUCAACGUACAGGCUGCCGGGAAUACUACAAAGCUAGGGAGUGGGAGAGGUAGACGGUACUCGGUAGGAAGGGGUAAAAUCCUUUGAUCUAUUGAUGACCACCUGUGGCGAAGGCGGUCUACCAGAACACGUCCGACGGUGAGGGAUGAAAGCUGGGGGAGCAAACCGGAUUAGAUACCCGGGUAGUCCCAGCCGUAAACCAUGCAAACUCAGUGAUGCAUUGGCUUGUGGCCAAUGCAGUGCUGCAGGGAAGCCGUUAAGUUUGCCGCCUGGGAAGUACGUACGCAAGUAUGAAACUUAAAGGAAUUGGCGGGGGAGCACCACAAGGGGUGAAGCCUGCGGUUCAAUUGGAGUCAACGCCGGGAA